CGAUGUUGCCCAGGGUCAGAA
RNAcentral lists this microRNA (21 nucleotides) under Mus musculus (house mouse). Its description in RNAcentral is "mmu-miR-6359". The record is from miRBase by way of RNAcentral. Lineage: Eukaryota; Metazoa; Chordata; Mammalia; Rodentia; Muridae.